This 22-nucleotide unclassified non-coding RNA is filed under the name Mus musculus (house mouse). Its description in RNAcentral is "oocyte_clustered_small_RNA10933". Lineage: Eukaryota; Metazoa; Chordata; Mammalia; Rodentia; Muridae. The record is from RNAcentral.
CACCACUUAGAACACAGCUGUC